GCUGCAGCCAAGAAGAUGGGAGCUCAGCCUCAAAUCCAUCUCCAUGACCAAGUAAAACUGCAGGCUUAUACAGCUGGGAAGAUGUGUAAGAAAUGUGUAAGAAAACAGGAACUGGGGAGGGGCAGGGAAGCAAUCAUGAGGAGUGAGAGGCCUGGCAUCUCAUUGUCUGGAUGUGGUGAUCUGGGUCUCACUCUGUUGCCCAGCCGUGGAGUGUAGUGGCACAGCCAUGGCUGACUGCAGCCUUGAACUCCUCACCUCAAGAGAUCAUCUUGCCUCAGCCUCCUGAAUAGCCAGGACCACAGGCACAUUCCACCCCACCUGGUUAAUUGUAAAAUAAGUUUUUAUAGAGAAGGAAUCUCCUGUGUUUUCCAAGCUGGUCUCAAAUCCCUGGCCUCAAGUGAUUAUCCUACCUCUGCCUUCUGAAGCACUGGAAUUACCAGCAUGGUCAUACUUCGUAAAGAGUAAACAUGAUUCAUAUGAAAAUAGGCAGCUUUCAGCAGACGGAAACACCGUUCUUGACCACAACAUCGAGAUGGGAAUUAGGAAAGGAAAAGAUGAGAAAAGGUGAAGAGGUUUGGAGAUCUUAGUUACCAUUUGCCCAGGUAAUCUCUACCUAAUUACCCACAAUGUUACCAAAACACGAGGAGCACAGUCUAGGUCCUACUGCUCGCUGCACAGAAAGACAAUGACUGAGAUGAUGAGCAUCGCCAAGGAAGAAGCUUUAAUCCGGUGCUGCAGCCAAGAAGAUGGGAGCUCAGGUCUCAAAUUCAUCUGCCCGAUUGACUAAAACUAAGAGUUUACACAGCAGGGAAGAAAUGUGACAAUGUGUAAGAAAACAGGAACUAGGAAGGGUCAAGGAAGUCAUCAUAAUGAAUGAGGGGUCCAGCAUCUCAUUAUCUGGAUGUGGUGAUCUGGUGAGUUUCAGUUCUUUGAAACCUUUUUGAGGGCCUGAAGGGCAUUUCCUGAGGAAGGAACUCAGAUAAAACAAGUGUAAGGUUCAAGCUUUGACAUAAGAAGGGUCAAUUUCUAUGUUUAUCUAAAAAAACUGUCUAUGAGACUAUGAGUCGGAUUUAAUAACAGCACACAAAACUGAAUUCAGUAUUUCCAAUGUGUUCACAUUGUGCACAGGACAGUAUUACCACCCUAAAAUAUCAUUUCAUAUUUUUGUGGCAUAGAAUCAUAAUUGUAUUUUUAAAUAGAUGUGCCUCAUCAGAAUGAGCUUAUCUUUUGUUAAUCUCUCCCAUCCUAUAUCUGUUUAGUUAAAUUUAAAGAAAAAUACAGGGUUAUCAAUUUAUUCUAACGAGUUCUUCUUGUUUGCAUAUCAAAUACAGGUUUUAUAACUAUGCUGUCUUUUUCUCAUCCAAGUUAAAACAGUCAAGACCGAAAAGGGUACAAACCUGGAGGUUCUGCUCCAGAUUGUAUGUAUCUUUGAUCAUUCUUUAAUUCAUUCAAUAAAUAUUUAUUUUGGGUGUGAAAAACUUUCAUAGCUGUUUUUUGCAGCAACGUGAAAAGCAGACUAAUAACUUAAGGAGUUUAUGGUCUAGUAACGUUAGCGAAUAAUGCCUCCUCAACUAUAACAUACAUUAUUUCUAGAGAAUGUGUCAUAUCUGUCAAUAUAAUAGACACAAUCUCUUGUAUACCACAUUGCUAAUGCUACUAAAGGAGAAGGAGUUUGGUUCAACAGGACACGUUCCCACUCAAGGUCAGAUCGUGCUCAUUUCUGUCGUAAGUUUCUCAAGUUCUCUGAUGACAUUUUCUAAUUUUUUAAAAUAAAAAGCAAUGUAAAUG
Molecule: long non-coding RNA, 1788 nt
Filed under: Macaca mulatta (Rhesus monkey)
Lineage: Eukaryota; Metazoa; Chordata; Mammalia; Primates; Cercopithecidae
Description: lncRNA (ENSMMUG00000053909.1)
Source: RNAcentral